Phascolarctos cinereus (koala) is the source of this 489-nucleotide non-coding RNA. NCBI's taxonomy places the organism in Eukaryota, Metazoa, Chordata, Mammalia, Diprotodontia, Phascolarctidae. The record is from RefSeq and is a predicted model, not a curated record.
AUUAAGGGACCCGAAGCCAUCUCCAAGAUCCUUUCCAGAUCGAAACUGUAUGAUCGCAAAACUGUAUGAUCCCAAAGUGCUUCUCUGUAAAAAGUACAGAGAAGUGGAUGGUAAAAAGGGCGUGUCCAUUUUACCGAGGGGGAAACUGGGGGAGCCAAAACAAAAGAGACAGCUUGGAACUUGUUAGACUCUCAGACUUUGACUCCAGGAAUGGCCCACAGAUCACUCCAGGGAGCUGACUGAAUGCUUAGGUGGUUUGAUUUCCAUCCCCUCGUACAGAAGAGGAAAGUCCCAAGAUUGUUUCAUUCAAGAGAGGAAAGGAACGUGGGGAGUCUACAGUUGUGAUUUCAAUGGCUCAAAGAACUCACAGUGUGGAAACUCCCUCCAGGGAAGUGUAAUGGCAACUCCUCUUUAACUUAAUCUCCAGGGAUGUCCUAGGGUGCUAAGAGAUGAAGAAACUGAGGCUGAAGGAGAUUAAGUGACCUGCCC